ACAUAUUAACCACCACCAUCUAGACAAUUUGAUUACUUCAACAAUACACCGCCUACUUAACACCCUUUUUUUUGCUUUCUCCUCAUUAUCCAGAUCUCGUUUCCCUUUUCGAAGAGUUAUGUUGAGAGAAAUCUCCAAUUGGUCAUUUUCAUUGGCUACAUUAACGCAUUUUUUGGAACACACUUGACAGGUCCAUAGUUGGAUCGUUAAACUUAUAUGAUCCUGAAGAAGAGCCAUUUGAUUUACUUUCGUAAUGCACUACCUCAUUGUCAUACAGCAAAACAUCAGACCACUUGAAAUGCCUACCGUCAGGAGUACAGCAAUGGAACAGUCGCCCUUUGUUUUCACGAUUUUUUCCCACCUCCAUCCACUUCACAAACCUCUCGCCACAUUUCAGGCAUCUUCUCUUUCUCGAACAUUCUGACAACGAAUGACCCGGCUUUCUGCAACUAUGGCAUAUACCUCUGUUCCUUUCUGCCAUGGAGCAAACUCUAGCUCACGGUGCAAUUCAAGAAGCUCAAAGUCAGAAUUCGAUCUCCAUAGAAUAGAGUGCAAGUGCAAUUGAACACUACAAAAAAAAGUCUUGACCAUACUUUGGAAUAUAAAAUAGUUGAACACUAAAUUAUUUUCAAUUGAACACGACAUUAUUUUCUUGACCAUACUUUGGAAUAUAAAACAGUUGAACAAAACAUUAUUUUCAAUUGAACACGACAUUAUUUUCAAUUGAACAAGACAUUAUUUUCAAGAUCUCGAGUUGUAAAAAAGAAUCAUUCAAUGAGCCGGCACUUCCCUACACAAAAUAUUUUCACUCAAGUUAGUUGUCUUCUGAUUCUACGUGCGUUGAAAAAAAAUACAUACAUAAUAUAUAUCAACAAUUGAAUAACCCAUAACUAAGAAGACAUUACAAAAAUUGGUAGACAAAAUGAAAAUGAUUUCAAGAAAAAUUCAUGAGAGACACCGUAGCACUUGUUCUUGAUUAAGGCAAAAAAUGCAUACACAAUAUAUAUCAACACUACGACAUACAGUAGCUUAUAGAUGUUUGGAAAUUCCACAUACCGUACAAUUGAUUUAGAGAAUUUCAGACGCCGACGAUUUUAAAAAGUUGAGGCUGUAGCACCAACAGUUAGUAGAGACGGCAGCACCGGCAAGAUUUGGAAAUUUUCAGAUUCAAAAGCUUUAUGUUCAG
This 1186-nucleotide long non-coding RNA is filed under the name Olea europaea subsp. europaea. The record is from RNAcentral. Lineage: Eukaryota; Viridiplantae; Streptophyta; Magnoliopsida; Lamiales; Oleaceae.